GACGAACGCUGGCGGCGUGCUUAACACAUGCAAGUCGAACGGUAAGGCCCUUCGGGGUACCCGAGUGGCGAACGGGUGCGUAACACGUGGGUAAUCUGCCCUGCACAUCGGGAUAAGCCUGGGAAACUGGGUCUAAUACCGAAUAGGACCACAGGACACAUGUCCUGUGGUGGAAAGCUUUUGCGGUGUGGGAUGGGCCCGCGGCCUAUCAGCUUGUUGGUGGGGUGAUGGCCUUCCAAGGCGACGACGGGUAGCCGGCCUGAGAGGGUGUCCGGCCACAUGGGGACUGAGAUACGGCCCAGACUCCGACGGGGGGCAGCAGUGGGGAAUAUUGCACAAUGGGCGAAAGCCUGAGGCAGCGACGCAGCGUGGGGGAUGACGGCCUUCGGGUUGUAAACCUCUUUCACCAUCGACGAAGGUCCGGGUUUUCUCGGGCUGACGGUAGGGGGAGAAGAAGCACCGGCCAACUACGUG
RNAcentral lists this ribosomal RNA (474 nucleotides) under uncultured bacterium. RNAcentral's name for it is "partial 16S ribosomal RNA". It matches the Rfam family "Bacterial small subunit ribosomal RNA", at positions 28 to 507 of the family's 1533-position model. The record is from RNAcentral.